This 440-nucleotide ribosomal RNA is filed under the name uncultured bacterium. RNAcentral's name for it is "partial 16S ribosomal RNA". It matches the Rfam family "Bacterial small subunit ribosomal RNA", at positions 338 to 795 of the family's 1533-position model. The record is from RNAcentral.
CCUACGGGUGGCAGCAGUGGGGGAUAUUGCACAAUGGGGGGAACCCUGAUGCAGCGACGUCGCGUGGGUGAAGAAGCGCCUCGGCGUGGUAAGCCCUGUCAGCAGGGAAGAAAAUGACGGUACCUGAAGCAGAAGCCCCGGCUAACUACGUGCCAGCAGCCGCGGUCAUACGUCGGGGGCAAGCGUUAUCCGGAUUUACUGGGUGUAAAGGGGGUGCAGACGGGGAGGCAAGCCAGGAGUGAAAGCCCGGGGCCCAACCCCGGGACUGCUCUUGGAACUGCGUGGCUGGAGUGCAGGAGGGGCAGGCGGAAUGGCUGGUGUAGCGGUGAAAUGCGUAGAUAUCAGGAAGAACACCGGUGGCGAAGGCGGCCUGCUGGACUGCAACUGACGUUGAGGCCCGAAAGCGUGGGGAGCAAACAGGAUUAGAUACCCUUGUAGUC